AGUUGCUAAAGCCAGGCCAGUGAGACACAGAGCUGAGACAGGCAAUGGGAGCCCUGGAUUAGGGGAAGAGAAGAGGAGGGAGGUCCAUACCGCUGCACAGUGAGGACAAGCUGAUUUCCUGAGGCAUCGAUGAGGCUCAUGGCACUGGCAUGGGAGAGGUUGGUGCAAGAGACCCCAUUGAUUGCCAAGAGCUGGUCCCUCUCUCGGAGUCCUGCUCUGCCAGCCUGGCUCCGUCUUCGAAUCUGAGAUGUUAAAGGAGACACUGUAG
Molecule: non-coding RNA, 268 nt
Filed under: Pongo abelii (Sumatran orangutan)
Lineage: Eukaryota; Metazoa; Chordata; Mammalia; Primates; Hominidae
Source: RNAcentral